This 491-nucleotide ribosomal RNA is filed under the name uncultured bacterium. RNAcentral's name for it is "partial 16S ribosomal RNA". It matches the Rfam family "Bacterial small subunit ribosomal RNA", at positions 29 to 507 of the family's 1533-position model. The record is from RNAcentral.
GUGAACGCUGGCGGUAGGCCUAACACAUGCAAGUCGCACGGCAGCACAGUAAGAGCUUGCUCUUACGGGUGGCGAGUGGCGGACGGGUGAGGAGUACAUCGGAAUCUACUUUUUCGUGGGGGAUAACGUAGGGAAACUUACGCUAAUACCGCAUACGACCUACGGGUGAACGCAGGGGAUCUUCGGACCUUGCGCGAUUGAAUGAGCCGAUGUCGGAUUAGCUAGUUGGCGGGGUAAAGGCCCACCAAGGCGACGAUCCGUGGCUGGUCUGAGAGGAUGAUCAGCCACACUGGAACUGAGACACGGUCCAGACUCCUACGGGAGGCAGCAGUGGGGAAUAUUGGACAAUGGGCGCAAGCCUGAUCCAGCCAUACCGCGUGGGUGAAGAAGGCCUUCGGGUUGUAAAGCCCUUUUGUUGGGAAAGAAAAGCAGCAGGUUAAUACCCCGCUGUUCUGACGGUACCCAAAGAAUAAGCACCGGCUAACUUCGUG